This 277-nucleotide ribosomal RNA is filed under the name uncultured bacterium. Its description in RNAcentral is "partial 16S ribosomal RNA". It matches the Rfam family "Bacterial small subunit ribosomal RNA", at positions 29 to 292 of the family's 1533-position model. The record is from RNAcentral.
AGCGAACGCUGGCGGCGUGCCUAACACAUGCAAGUCGAACGCGAAAGUCCCGCAAGGGAUGAGUAGAGUGGCAAACGGGUGAGUAACACGUGGGUGACCUGCCUUUGAGCGGGGGAUAACGUCCCGAAAGGGACGCUAAUACCGCAUGACGUCCUGCCUUUGAAGAGGUGGAGACCAAAGCCGGGGACCGCAAGGCCUGGCACUUGAAGAGGGGCCCGCGUCUGAUUAGCUAGUUGGUGGGGUAAUGGCUCACCAAGGCAACGAUCAGUAUCCGGCC